RNAcentral lists this ribosomal RNA (683 nucleotides) under uncultured bacterium. RNAcentral describes it as "bacterial SSU rRNA". It matches the Rfam family "Bacterial small subunit ribosomal RNA", at positions 8 to 680 of the family's 1533-position model. The record is from RNAcentral.
AGGGUUUUAUCCUGGCUCAGGAUGAACGCUAGCGACAGGCCUAACACAUGCAAGUCGAGGGGUAACAGAUGAAGAGCUUGCUCUGAUUGCUGACGACCGGCGCACGGGUGAGUAACAAGUAUGCAACCUACCUUUUACAGAGGGAUAGCCCAGAGAAAUUUGGAUUAAUACCUCAUAAUAUUUUUAACUCGCAUGAGUUUUAAAUUAAAACUUCGGUGGUAAAAGAUGGGCAUGCUUUCUAUUAGUUUGUUGGUGAGGUAACGGCUCACCAAGACUAUGAUAGAUAGGGGGUCUGAGAGGAUAGUCCCCCACACUGGUACUGAGACACGGACCAGACUCCUACGGGAGGCAGCAGUGAGGAAUAUUGGUCAAUGGUCGAAAGACUGAACCAGCCAUGUCGCGUGAAGGAUGACGGCCCUAUGGGUUGUAAACUUCUUUUGUAUGGGAAGAAAAGCAGUUACGUGUAACUGUCUGCCGGUACCAUACGAAUAAGGAUCGGCUAACUCCGUGCCAGCAGCCGCGGUAAUACGGAGGAUCCAAGCGUUAUCCGGAUUUAUUGGGUUUAAAGGGUGCGUAGGCGGCUCUAUAAGUCAGUAGUGAAAUCUCGAAGCUCAACUUCGAACGUGCUAUUGAAACUGUAGAGCUUGAGUACAGACGAGGCAGGCGGAAUGUGUUGUGUAGCG